RNAcentral lists this ribosomal RNA (506 nucleotides) under uncultured bacterium. RNAcentral's name for it is "partial 16S ribosomal RNA". It matches the Rfam family "Bacterial small subunit ribosomal RNA", at positions 30 to 523 of the family's 1533-position model. The record is from RNAcentral.
AUUGAACGCUAGCGGUAGGCCUAACACAUGCAAGUCGAACGGCAGCACAGGAGAGCUUGCUCUCUGGGUGGCGAGUGGCGGACGGGUGAGGAAUACAUCGGAAUCUACUCUGUCGUGGGGGAUAGCGUAGGGAAACUUACGCUAAUACCGCAUACGACCUACGGGUGAAAGCAGGGGACCUUCGGGCCUUGCGCGAUUGAAUGAGCCGAUGUCGGAUUAGCUAGUUGGCGGGGUAAAGGCCCACCAAGGCGGCGAUCCGUAGCUGGUCUGAGAGGAUGAUCAGCCACACUGGAACUGGGACACGGUCCAGACUCCUACGGGAGGCAGCAGUGGGGAAUAUUGGACAAUGGGCGCAAGCCUGAUCCAGCCAUACCGCGUGGGUGAAGAAGGCCUUCGGGUUGUAAAGCCCUUUUGUUGGGAAAGAAAUCCAGCUGGCUAAUACCCGGUUGGGAUGACGGUACCCAAAGAAUAAGCACCGGCUAACUUCGUGCCAGCCGCCGCAGUAA